GACGAACGCUGGCGGCGUGCCUAACACAUGCAAGUCGAGCGAGAAUCUACUAAUUGAUUCCUUCGGGAUGAUUUUGGUAGAGGAAAGCGGCGGACGGGUGAGUAACGCGUGAGUAACCUGCCUUCAGGAGGGGGGACAACAUUCCGAAAGGGAUGCUAAUACCGCAUGACAUUACGUUAUCGCAUGGUAAUGUAAUCAAAGAUUUAUCGCCUGAAGAUGGACUCGCGUCUGAUUAGAUAGUUGGUGGGGUAACGGCCUACCAAGUCGACGAUCGGUAGCCGAACUGAGAGGUUGAUCGGCCGCAUUGGGACUGAGACACGGCCCAGACUCCUACGGGAGGCAGCAGUGGGGGAUAUUGCACAAUGGAGGAAACUCUGAUGCAGCAACGCCGCGUGAGGGAAGACGGUCUUCGGAUUGUAAACCUAAGUUAUCAGGGACGAUUAUGACGGUACCUGAAGAGAAAGCUCGGCUAACUACGUGCCAGCAGCCGCGGU
This 494-nucleotide ribosomal RNA is filed under the name uncultured bacterium. Its description in RNAcentral is "bacterial SSU rRNA". It matches the Rfam family "Bacterial small subunit ribosomal RNA", at positions 28 to 521 of the family's 1533-position model. The record is from RNAcentral.